RNAcentral lists this transfer RNA (71 nucleotides) under Ictidomys tridecemlineatus (thirteen-lined ground squirrel). RNAcentral's name for it is "Spermophilus tridecemlineatus (thirteen-lined ground squirrel) tRNA". It matches the Rfam family "tRNA". Rfam says of the family: Transfer RNA (tRNA) molecules are approximately 80 nucleotides in length. Their secondary structure includes four short double-helical elements and three loops (D, anti-codon, and T loops). Lineage: Eukaryota; Metazoa; Chordata; Mammalia; Rodentia; Sciuridae. The record is from Rfam by way of RNAcentral.
GGGGGUGUGGCUCAGUGGUUGAGCGCUUGCCUUGAAUGUGUGAGGCACUGGGUUUGAUCCCAGCACCACAU